RNAcentral lists this ribosomal RNA (433 nucleotides) under uncultured bacterium. RNAcentral describes it as "partial 16S ribosomal RNA". It matches the Rfam family "Bacterial small subunit ribosomal RNA", at positions 29 to 507 of the family's 1533-position model. The record is from RNAcentral.
AAUGAACGCUGGCGGCAUGCCUAACACAUGCAAGUCGAACGAGACCUUCGGGUCUAGUGGCGCACGGGUGCGUAACGCGUGGGAACCUGCCCUUAGGUUCGGAAUAACUCCCCGAAAGGGGUGCUAAUACCGGAUAAUGUCUCCGGCCCAAAGAUUUAUCGCCUUUGGAUGGGCCAGCGUUGGAUUAGCUAGUUGGUAGGGUAAAAGCCUACCAAGGCGACGAUCCAUAGCUGGUCUGAGAGGAUGAUCAGCCACACUGGGACUGAGACACGGCCCAGACUCCUACGGGAGGCAGCAGUGGGGGAUAUUGGAAAGUGGGGGGAAGCCUGAUCCAGCAAUGCCGCGUGAGUGAUGAAGUCCUUAGGGUUGUAAAGCUCUUUUACCCGGGAUGAUAAUGACAGUACCGGGAGAAUAAGCUCCGGCUAACUCCGUG